CGUCUAUAUACGUAUAGCAUAUCAAUAAGCGGAGGAAAAGAAACUAACUAGGAUUCCCUCAGUAACGGCGAGUGAAGCGGGAAGAGCUCAAAUUUGAAAUCUUCAAGGUUUUACCUUGACGAAUUGUAGUUUAAAGAAGUGUUUUCUGUUGGAAUUUUGGUAAAAGUUCUUUGGAAAAAGACAUCAAAGAGGGUGAGAAUCCCGUAUUUGACCAUUAUUUCCAGCUUUGUGAUACACUUCCAAAGAGUCGGAUUGUUUGGGAAUGCAGUCCAAAAUGGGUGGUAAAUUUCAUCUAAAGCUAAAUACUGGCGAGAGACCGAUAGCGAACAAGUACCGUGAGGGAAAGAUGAAAAGAACUUUGAAAAGAGAGUUAAACAGUACGUGAAAUUGUCAAAAGGGAAGCGUUUGACACCAGUGUUGUUUUUCCGAAAAUCAAUUACGAAUGUUUUGUUUUUGAGAAGUUAUGACUUCAUCGGCUUGCUCCUUUCUUUAUGAAACUUUCUUAAUGCACUUUUCGGUUAACAAGUCAACAUCAAUUUCUUUUGUUGUAAAAGGGUAUGAGGAAGGUGGCUUUCUUUUCGGAGAAAGUGUUUAUAGCCAUUGUACCUCUGCAAUCGGAGAGAUUGAGGUCUGCAGCGUAGAUCCUUCGGGGUUAGAUACAUUUGUGCUAAGUUAUAGCUUUUCAUAGACAACUUGUUGACUAUGUUAAGUCUUGUAGCUUACUCGCUUAUGCUAUUUUACCUACGCUUAGGAUGUUGAUAUGCAUGACUGAUAU
This 775-nucleotide ribosomal RNA is filed under the name uncultured Neocallimastigales. RNAcentral's name for it is "partial large subunit ribosomal RNA". It matches the Rfam family "Eukaryotic large subunit ribosomal RNA", at positions 26 to 643 of the family's 3401-position model. Lineage: Eukaryota; Fungi; Neocallimastigomycota; Neocallimastigomycetes; Neocallimastigales. The record is from RNAcentral.